GCCAAGCUGCUCUGGGGGGGCUCCCCCUGUUCUACAGAAGGGCUGGAAAUUGGGGGGGGGGGGGGAGGGGGCUGGAAAAGCAGGACACCCCUGCAAACCCCACUCUGGUGUAUUGAUAUUCAGUGUAGAGAGAGGGGUGUAAAUUCAGUGCUAUCUCCUCGCCGCUCACCGUUUAUGCCGUUCAUUUCACAUAGAUGUCACUACUGCCUUAUAAGCACUCCUCCGAGCCAGCCGCUUAAAUGGACCCAGUGCAUUAUAGUAAUGGAGUAACUGUAUAAAAACAAUGAAAUCCAAUCUCUUUAAACUGAUUUGAUGUCUGCCUGAACCACAACAUUUCCUGCUAAUGGCUUCCUUCAUUUUGUAACCGUGAUCUCCACCUGAUCAGAUUACAGCUGUUUUUAAUUACAAAGCUAAUAGAGUUUGUAGGCAGUGUCGGGAGGAUGGCGCAUGCCCCAGGCAGAGAGGAGCUGGUGGGGGCUUGAGGUGGUUGUGCUGACAGUCAGCCUAUGGAGCAGACUGUCACAACACUAGGAUGGGGACAGAGUAGGGAUGUUGGUGCCAUCUGACUGCUGCAGCUGAUGGGGCAGGAAACAGCACUGAGGAUGACUGAUAGUGGAAAAUGUCCUCAAGAUUGAUGUCUUUCUUAUGGGAUAGCGCAGCCAGCUGCAGGGUUGGAUUCCUCCACCUCAGCCUGGAUGGUGGAGCCCUGGGGAGUAUCUGUGCAGCUCAUCCUGCUCCCCAAGGGCCUCGUUUUGUCCAGCAGUCAGUCAGUUUGUUUGCUGAUUGCUCUAUUGCUGUGGGUUAGGAGCACAGAGCAGAGUAACAGUGGGGAGAGAAGCAGUUUGAAAUCUGUUUCCAAACGGUGAUGGCCAAGGAUGUUUGAUGCCCUGAAAAAACACUGUGGUGUGCUAGAGAUGCUUCUCAGUAGCCCAUACUGGUGUUUAGGAUUGAGCUGAUGUUGGGUUCAGCUGAAAAAUGUCAGCAGCGAAGGAGAGCAGCAUCUCCAGGUUGAAGCCAUGUCCUGCUGGAGGAAUCUCCCAUUUGGGGUGCUGGAGUUGUUCUUGUGCCUACAGUAGUAAGCAAUCCACUUCCAGCAGCUGGGACAAGGGGAGGACAAGGCAGGAAGAACCCCAGAGCCCCAUGGGGAAGUUCAUGCUAUUGAGACCUGCUUUGGAGCUGCUCCCACUGCCUGCUUCAUCACACUGCUCAGGAUGUUCGUCCUCCACUGCCUCGGUGCAGGAGUUGCUUGUGCCAGUGACACCAACAUGAGCUGCCAAAACACCAAACACCAACAGCCAGUCCUGCCCAGAAGAGCGGAACGUGGGGACUCACCAUCUCCUCCCCAUAGCUUGGCACUCUGAGGUUAGUGAGAGUGUUCUCAGAGCAAACCCCAUCCUACACGAGCCGUUGCUGGUGAGACCCACCUGCGUGCACUGUGCUGCAGAGCAGGAUCAGCACCGCCAUCCAGACUCUGCCUGUGCCUGGUGCACAAAACCAUGUGUUUGAGGAAGUACUUCUGGAGUUUGAAAAGCAUUGCUGGGGUUUGAGCUGGCUGCGGGUGGAAGGACUGAGCCUGGAAGGAAACCCCGUGUGAAAUCCCCAGCCUGCUUUGCAGAUGCUGGGCUGGUUUUAGGCAGAUGUCUGAAACACUCCUGGUGGGCUCGGUGCCUCGCUGCAGUAAAUAUAGGGGGGAGCUGGAAGAAGUGGGGAGAGCCCUGAUAUCUUCCAGGAGCUGCCUCAGGAGAGAGACUGGACCAGCCUGAAGAGCCAAAGUCCAGCAGCACAGCUGGGGACACAAACAUCCCACACACAGGACUAUUUUGAUGGAGCUGGAGAAGUGAUGACACAAAUAGCUGAUGACACAAAUAGUUCUGCUGGCAGAGCAGCAGAGGUGGCAACCUCUGGAUGGGAUCCAUGAGCAGCAGCUGCAGACAGGCACCUCUUCAUGGAGCUGGAGCAGGAUGUACAACGCAGGGCUCCUGUCACCAUUCCUCCAGUAUCACCAGGAAAGCUGUGACCCAGAUGAGCCGCAGCCUCCUUCCUCAGCAUCAGCACUCAGAGCCACAUCCAGAGAGCCUGCAGACACAUCUGCCCUCUCCUCUGUGUCGGAGUUCCUCUGCAUCUUGUUGACAGCUGACAAACAUUCCAGCUAGAAUACCUUUGCUGAGCUUCUGGGUGGAAAAAAAAGGAGGAUUUACCUGAGUCCAACCCAUCUGCACGUGCUGAAAACAGAGAGGAUCAGCGAAACUGGAACUGUUCAGAACCACACAUUACUUCCAUGUGCCGUGAACGGAGCUCUCAGGCUCAUCAGAGGAAGACCAGAAUGAAUUCCACCACCGUGGCCUCACCUUGCUGGCAUUGCAGUUUUACAUACUCGGGUUGAAAGUGCAAAGAGGCAAUAGGGAGAUAGAGAGCGCUGACUUCACCCUGCACUGCACAACACAACACAGGGAAGGUGUCAGGUGUUGCACAGAGCUUCAUGGCACAUCUCCACACCCAGCUCAGAUGUGUCCUUGUGGAUGAGAGUCUCCGGUUGAUCCCUACCUCAGUUAUGGAGGUCCCAGGCUGUAUGGCAGCAGGAAGAUGCCCACAUAGC
Long non-coding RNA from Lagopus muta (rock ptarmigan), 2596 nucleotides. RefSeq lists it as uncharacterized. The record is from RefSeq and is a predicted model, not a curated record. The transcript is spliced from 13 exons. Lineage: Eukaryota; Metazoa; Chordata; Aves; Galliformes; Phasianidae.